Molecule: ribosomal RNA, 306 nt
Filed under: Triticum aestivum (bread wheat)
Lineage: Eukaryota; Viridiplantae; Streptophyta; Magnoliopsida; Poales; Poaceae
Description: partial small subunit ribosomal RNA
Source: RNAcentral
AUGGAGAAGGGCUCCGGCGCCGCCGCAGGAAGCAGCGCGCGGCCACCGCCGAUGCCGCAGCUGGACGAGUUCCCGUUCGAGGGGAAGAAGCCCGUCAAGAACCCCUUCGUCCCCAUCGGUGCAUUGGUCACUGCGGGUGUCCUGACAGCUGGCCUGGUCAGCUUCCGGUACGGGAAUUCUCGGCUGGGUCAGAAGCUGAUGAGGGCCCGUGUGGUUGCUCAAGGCGUUACGGUUGCUCUGAUGGUCGGCAGCGCGUACUACUAUGGUGACCAAAUCAAGCUGUUCAAGAAAGGGUCUAGCCCAUGA